Molecule: long non-coding RNA, 27022 nt
Filed under: Lactuca sativa (garden lettuce)
Lineage: Eukaryota; Viridiplantae; Streptophyta; Magnoliopsida; Asterales; Asteraceae
Description: long non-coding RNA (LSAT_LNC008975)
Source: RNAcentral
GCAUCAGUAACUUGAUGUUAUAAAACGUGCCUUUGUGUACAAUUCAACAAGUAGUAGAACAAGCAUAUGAGUCGAAGUUUAUCUGUUCCUUCUAGAAAUAGAAGCGAUAUCUGGGCCCCUCGAUGAUUUUGUGUUGACCCAUGUACCGGGCCCGGUCAGAACUAAACUGAUGUGUUCAGUGAAGUUCUUAGUCAAACAAAUCGGAAAUCGAGAAACAACUGCCAGACAAUAAGCAAGACAUAGUUCCAUGUGUUUGUCCGGCUGAUAUCAUGAGAACAGAGGAUUAUAUGAUCACUUGUCUUAAAAUGGCGCUUCAUAGUUCAACGGAGUUUUCGAGAGCUACGAUUGCUGGUUGGUUCCUGAAGUUAUAUAGGCAAAUACAGUUAUUAGACUUAUCCAAGUGGGAGUCUGUUGGAUAAGGUGUCUAAGUCCAUAACUUAUUUGGUAUAUACUUGACCCGACCGGCAUGGUCCAUUUGGGUUGCAUCUCAUCCAAACUAUUUAUGGAUAAUUUUAUGAGAGUUAUACACAUAUGUUUAUUAAUAUAUUAUAAGUUAUAAUAUAUUAAUAUCAAGUUAUUUUAUUUAAUUAGUAUUAGUCUUAAAUUAAUUAUCAAUUAAUUUAGAGAUUAAAAGGAAGACUAAUUAGAUUAUGGGCUACUGGUUUUAUAUGGUGUGGGCUAACACUCAUUUGUUAAUGGGCUAGGCUUUGAUAGAAGUCCAUGGAUGAUCCAUGGAGCUUUUAACCCAUGGAUCCUUGGAAAAGGAAAGGUCAUGGGUUAUUAGGGUUUCACCCUAAUCAUGUACACUAUAUAAGCAUGCUUAUGGUGCAUGAAAUGGAAACUAGUGAACUAGUGUGUGUGUGCUUGUGUGUGGCCGAAAUAUACAAGUGUGUAUACUCUCUCAAAGUUUUCCAAGAGUUUGUGGUGCUUUGUGAUUCCAUUUGAGGCAUUCACACUAUUGGUGCUUGGCCCUCAAACUCCUUAAGAACCAAACUCAUCAAAAAGGUAUGUAAUCUCUUCUAACUUUUUAUGUUGAAAUGUUCCCCAUGCCAUGUUAGAUAGGUUAUAAACCUUGGAAAAUUACUAUUUUGCAUGUAUUUAGAUAAACAUAGAUCCAAGGUUUAUUAGGGUUGCAUGCACACUUAGGAAGGGUUAGAUUGCUCAAAACCCAACACUAAAAAGGUACAACCCUUCCUCUGAUCCAACCAUUUUUGUUCCAAUCCGUAGACUCCCUACAUAUAUUCUUUCUACCCUUAGUCUCGAGACUGCUGAUGUCUCAGACCACAUUGAGGCUACGGAAGGUAUUAACCCAUACAUUCGUACCCCACCUCCCCCAUCUGCAACCUUAAACCCUGAAGAUACCGCAGUCCCUUCUUCUACAACUCUUUCUAACGUCUCUCAAAGACACAAACACAAGGUUUCUUCUCUGCAUGGUUCCUGCACCACAAAGAAAUCUGGAACUCCCAAAAAGGAUGCCCCCAAACCAUCCAAACCCUCAAAGAAAAGAAAUAGACCACCUGUAAUCACAACUACUGAACCGAGUCGCCAUGACUCCGUUAGUGAUUCUGAAGAGGAUAACCAACCCAUUUCUAUCCUCAAGAAAAGGAAAUUUGAUCCCACUAGCCAAAUGCAUGACCAGAUCGAUACCUCACCCUCUCAACAGGCUCUGGUAGUCCUUCGGAUGCCUGCACAUCCAUUCCACAACACUAUCUUUUCCUUUCAGACUCAGAAAGUGAGUCUGAAACACAGCAAAUAGGAGACUCCCCCUAGUACAUUCCCAAAGGGAUAAUACUAGUUCUCACCCUAAAUUCUCUAGGGCUUCCCGACUGUAUAUCUUUUCACCCGAGGAGUUGAACUCCAUCCUGUUGCAUGUCACCCAAACACUACAUGCACAGUUCCAACCUCAGGGCACUUCUUCCACCCUUGCCAGAACUGAGCUGAGGACAAACUUGACCAUGGGUCACGAGACCAAGGAAGCUCAGGAAAUCCUACUCUGCUUUCAUUACAAACAGGUGGUUUAGGCACGGUGAGCACAAAUGUGCAAGGAUCCGUGAACCCAAGGGACACCUUGGUGCGAUUUACAUGAAUUGUCGGUGAAGACUCAAAUGAUUCUUGGAGCAGGUAUCAACCGUCUAACGAGGCUGAAGCCAAUAAAUAUGUCGCUUUUCGUAGGGCAUUCCAAGCUUGCAAGGAUCAACAAAUCAAACAACAACAGCUCAAGGAACAAGAGAUACAAGUUGUGGCCAAGUAUUGGGCAGAUGCCAAAAACAAUGCCAAUACCGUAGCCACCAUCCUCAAGGUUCAAGACUGGAUGUCCGCAAUGGCCAAAAAAGUUCAACAAGCUCAGGAAACAAGUGUUGAUCAGCAUGUCUCUCAAGCUCCUCCCUCUCCUACUGUUGAAGGUUCACAAGACGACGAACCAAAAAUCGAAGUGAGCUCUGCUCCCAUUUUUGGCUUCGAUGAUGUUGAACUAGAAGAGGUAAACAAACCCUCUCCUUCCGAAGACGAUCUGAUGAUGUUUGAUGAAGAUGAAGAAUCCAGUGGUUCUCAUCACUCCACUUAUAAGCCAAUGGAAAGAAGAAGAAGAAGAAGCAUGCAGUGACUACGAAGGAAUUCCUCAGUCUACAGGCCAAGGUUGAUCAAAUCCUGGCCGUAGUCAAGUCAACGCAACUAGAAGAUACUUCGGGACCCCAGUCCCUUAUUGAAAGAAUUGAAAGACUGGAAACCAGAGAAAGAAAUGGCUGUGGAGCGUAUCUCUAUGAAGGUUGAGAUAGGGAUCAGGUUACUUGAAAAUAAUCGGCAAGCUGAUCACAAGGAAUUUAUGGUUGCUGCGGAACGUGUGACAACCGUCAAAAUUCGACUCGGUUCUAGAUUUGAAUAAGCUUAAUUGCACGAAUAGGCACGACACAUACUAGAUUUAGUAACUAGAAACUUGGAAACAAUUAUAAACAAUGUAUAAUGUGCUUAGAUUUCACAUUGAUAUGUGAGUUCUACAUCUACUGAGCUGUAGUGACUAUCCAUAUUUGGGUCACUCUUUGACUCGACCAACAUCUCAUGAAUCAUAUACACACAUCAUGCACUUGACCUAGAAGUAGAAGUUAGUUCAAAGUCUCAUAGAAACUUAAGUCAAAGUUGAAGAGUAGGACUAGUAUACUUGAUUCCUCAAUUUCGCUUAAAUCUCGGAAUCACUACAUAGAAUGCUAAUAAACCGAUAAAAAUAAAUUACAAACAUUAUUUAUAACUAUAAAAGAGUUAUAAUACCAUAAAAUAAUUUGAAUUCUCAAAGAUUCCAUUCAAUUUGAUAUCCAAAGAUUUAUGAAACUCCAAAAACCCUAAAAGCCAUAAAAACUCAUAGUUAUAAACUUUAACCUUAAACUUUUUAUAAAAAUAAUUAUGAAACUUAUAAAAUUAUCUUAUAAUAAUAAAAUUUAUGAAAAUCCAUUCAAGAAAAAUAAAAAAAAUAAAAAAAUUUAUGUCAUUGACAUUACCCUUAAUUUAUAAGACAAAAUACAAUUGAACCUUGUAAAAACUAAAGGUGAUUUUUAUAAAAACUAAAGAUGAUUUUUAUAAAAACUAAAGCUGAUUUUCAUAAAAAUGAUUAGGAGGCCAUAUUUAUUCAAAGUAAAGCUUUAAAAGCAUCUAAAACGCUCUCUGAUCCCUCUUAAAUUCGGACUCCACCUCCCAAGAAAUCUCUUCCCAACAAACAUUAAUCAUUCAUCACCCACACACUCCAUCUCCUUCACUUCUCUCUCUCAUUUCUCUAUCACACUCUCACACCCAUUUUCACUCCUCCUCUCUCUAUGAACCACGAAAUUUCUAGAAGAUAGGACCCAAAAACACUCACUAAACUCGAAAUGUUCAUCAUCUCGGAGUGUUCUUAAAGGUAAACCCGAAAAUCCUUCAUUUUCCUUCACUUUUCUUUCUUGUUUUAAAGGUUUUUCUUACACUUCUCAUUCUUCUACACCCUUCUUUAUGAACAAUGAUGAACACUUGCUCAAACUCAUGGUUUUGAUUAUGAUGGUGGUAGGAUUUCACCCAAAAACAACAUGCAUGUUGUAAAUGGUGAAAUCCAAGGAUCAAACCUAACUCAAAAUUUUAACACCCAAAGUUUUGAAGGCCAAGAAAGGAAAGAAAACCCUAAUUUUUAGGGGCAACUCGACGAGUCCAAGGAGGAACUCGGCGAGUCCGAGCGGGAUUCGGGUUGAGGUGUAAGUGUCCAACUUGGAGAAACGGCCAAGUGGACUCGGCGAGUCUGGUCUGUGCGAGGAAAACCCUAAAUUCGGGACUUGGAGCCUAUUUAAGCGCCUCAUUCUCUCCCCAAGGGUUCCUUUACUGCCUCUUUCACCCAUAACAUUAAACCCUAGCCGCCAUAUCCUCUUUUUGAGCCAUUUGUUGCCUUGGAAGGUCCAUUAAAGCAUGGAGAAGGAAGAAGGAACUUAAAGGAGCAAGAAGGGACUAUUAAUCUGGGCAUUUGGAGGUAAUAAACUAGUUCCUGGACCUUUUUUGCACCUACAUCUACGUGUGGUUGUUGGGGCUUUUUAGCCAUAAUGUUAUUAUGUUGAGUUAGAAGCCAUAUCUGAAGUUGCUACUUCAGAUCUAAGCAUAUUAUGGUCUUGAGAAGCAUAAAGUAGCAGCCCUUGAGUUGAUUAUGGAGCCUCCUUGACUUAAACCCUAGUUUGUGGUGAAUUUUGCCUAGAUCCCCUUCUCUAUACGUAAAGUUUGUAACUUUACGUGAGGAAUGGGCUUGGGAAGGGUAGAUCUAUAGUUUGGAGUCCAUGCAUGACUCAAAAGUCCUCUGCAUGUAUGGAGAUCUGAAUGGACUCGGCGAGUCCUUUGAGUGGAAUCGGCGAGUAGCGUGAAGAUUUGGAGGAACUCGACGAGUAAGAUGAACAGCUCGUCGAGUCAGAUGAAGUUGGGCAGGAACUCGGCGAGUCUAUUGAAGGUUGUCUUCGACUUGGUGAGUCUGUUCUUGGACUUGGCGAGUCAGGUCGCGAAACCCCAAACCCUUCGAGUUGAGACUCGAAUCAGUGAGUGGAGUGGAGACUCGGUGAGUCGGACAGGACAUGAAUCGGAAAUCGGUAGACCCGGCGAGUCAUGGACUGACUCGGUGAGUCGAGUCACAAAGAGAAGGACUUUGAACAUAUGAACUCGGCGAGUCAAUAGGGUUACUCAGCGAGUAGGGUUGACCUGGAAGAUUGACUUUGACCAGGACUUUGACGUUGACCAGAGUUGACUUGGUUGUCUUUCGGGGGUCAGUUAGACUCAGUGUUGCUUUGACAUUGGUAGCUCGGGGAGCCAGUGGAGCAGGAGUUCAGAGAGUUGUCGGUCAGCAGCCAGAGGAUUAUCANGGGUCUACGGCCACAAUGCCGGCCCAUGUAGUUAUGAGUAGAAGACCCGGGGGUUAGCCCUAGGCACAGUAUGCGAGUAUGAUAUUCGGGACGAGGUCCAAUGAUAGAGGGUGGGUGCCCAAGGAAUGGUUUAUGUGAUAGUAUAUACUUGUUGUCUGUGUGAUACUUGUAUGUGCCUGGUAGGGAGGUGAGUGUGGGCGAGGUCCCGUAUCUUACCAAUAGCAGAGUGUGGAUGGUGUUCCAUAUCUCAAUAGCAGCAGAUCAGGGGCAAGGAUCAAGUUAGGGAAGGAGUGAGGGUGGGCUGGGCCCGUACCACACUAUCAGUAGGAGUAUGGACGGGGUUCCAUGACUCAUCAGUAGCAAGACAAGGGCGGGGCCCAGAGAUAGGCGAGGCCUCACAACAAGAUCCUUUAGUAUGUGUUUAGCUAUGUGAUGUGAUGUGAUAUGUUUAGGUGCUAUUAUAUGUUAGUGGGCGAGGUCCUGUGACAAACGAGGCCUAAGUGAAACAGAUCUGUAUCCGAGCGGGGCCUGGAGCGGCGGGGGCGUUGUAGUGCGCGAGGCCCAAGGUAGGGUGGGCGAGGCCCAGGAUAGCGGGCGUGGCCCAGUAUGUGCAGUUUGUGGUUAUGCAUGGUAUGUGGUAGGGNNNNNNNNNNNNNNNNNNNNNNNNNNNNNNNNNNNNNNNNNNNNNNNNNNNNNNNNNNNNNNNNNNNNNNNNNNNNNNNNNNNNNNNNNNNNNNNNNNNNNNNNNNNNNNNNNNNNNNNNNNNNNNNNNNNNNNNNNNNNNNNNNNNNNNNNNNNNNNNNNNNNNNNNNNNNNNNNNNNNNNNNNNNNNNNNNNNNNNNNNNNNNNNNNNNNNNNNNNNNNNNNNNNNNNNNNNNNNNNNNNNNNNNNNNNNNNNNNNNNNNNCAGGAGUAUGGACGGGGUUCCAUGACUCAUCAGUAGCAGGACAAGGGCGGGGCCCAGAGAUAGGCGAGGCCUUAGGACAAGAUCCGUUAGUAUGUGUUUAGAUUAUGUGAUGUGAUAUGAUAUGUUUACGUGCUAUUAUAUGUUAGUGGGCGAGGCCCGAGGUGGGGCGAGGCCCAGGAUAGCGGGCGUGGCCCAGUAUGUGCAGUUUGUGGUUAUGCAUGGUAUGUGGUAGGGUGGGGAACUCACUAAGCUUCGUGCUUAAGGUUUUUAGUUUUGGUUUCAGGUACUUCCGGUAGCGGAGGUAAGAGCUCGGGGUGAUCGCAUGGGACACACCAUAGCUUAAACAGCUUGGGAAUGUUUACUCUGAUAACGAACAUGUAUUUUCAAAACUAAUACUCUGUUUAUGUUUUGAUGUGAUGAAUUUGUUUAAAGUAAUGUUUUAUUAAAAGAAAUUUUUAGUUUCGAAUUUCUGGACGUUACAAGUUGGUAUCAGAGCCUUGGUUUGAGGGAUUCAGGCAUACUCUCGGGUGUGCCUGAACUCAAACUGAGGGGUCGGAUAAAAAGUUUUCAAAAAUGAAAAGACAGUUUUGUAAAAAGAAUUUUGAGAACGAAAAACAGUUUUAGAAAAGCAAAAAUAAUUCAAAAAAAAAAGAACUUUGAAAAGAGAAAAAGGGUGUGGUGCAUGCAAUCAACCGAGCUCAAGUAAGUACCCCAAAAUACCCAUACAAGUUUAUGUUAUGAUUAUCAGUUGAUAGAACAAUAUGCUAGAAUAGGACUAAGGGUCUAGGGAUGAUGCCUUAUGUGCCUGUUAUUUGUGCUUUUGAGCUGCAUGAUAGUGCUGAUUAGACAGUAGUAGGAUAGCCUGUUUAGGUUAUGCCUGAGUUUAUGAGUUUGUGUUGCAUGCUAGUUCAGAUUCUUGCUAUGUGGAUAUGAUUGCUUGAGUAUGUUAUGGUUAGAUUUUCCCUUGUCCGAAUGUUGCUUGCUUUGUGCAUUGUGGGAUUCUGAGUGAUGGGGGUUAGCCAUUAGGUGGAUACGACACGCCACAUGUGAUCAGGGUUGAAUAAUCUCAAAGUGUUGGACUUUGUCCUAUUGCGCAGCUCUUGUUUGAGUCCAACCAUUGUAGGAACGAGUCUUUUACUUGAAGUAUUAUUUGAGCCUCGUCACAUGUGACAGUAUCCAGGUGAUGGCCAGUUGGCAUCACAAGGAGACCUUCAGCAAUUGAGGACUGCUUUGGGUUGAUUCAGAGGUUUCCCUAGGGUAAGCCUAGGAUGAGGUAGUGCUGGGAGCAGUAGUAGUGGUUAAGGGACCUGGUGGAGUCAAAGCAAUUCCUGAGGAAAGUACGGAUAGAUGUGGAAGCUAGUAUGGGCUCGUACUACUGAAAUCAGAGGAUCCGUACUCGAUUCGGGAAAGGCCGAGCAGCUCGAGGAGCGAAUGAGGGAGUUGAUAUCCGCCGAGGUUGCACGUAGUAUGCUAGAUCAGACUCCUGUGAUCUUUGGCACGGUCAAGGAGGGUAUAUUGGAGAUUUUGGAUGAGAGGCUGGGAGCCUUCCGUACUGAGAUGAUGGCUUUGUUGGGAGCGCGUACCUUGAUAUUUCAAGAGUUCAGGGCUUGCGGGGCACCAGAUUAUCAUGGGGCUAGGGACCCCAUCGCUAGUAGCAGAUGGUUGGUUGAUGUUGCCAACGCAUUCCGUACGAUCCGGUGCCCUGAGGGGGACAAGGUCAGACUCGCUUCCUAUAUUCUGAAGGACAGAGCAAGGGAUUGGUGGGCGGAGAUUGGUCAUGCUUUGGGAGAUGAUGCCGCGUUGGACGCGGUGACCUGGAGCGAUUUUUUGGCCAGGUUCAGGGCGGAGUUUUCGCCGAUUAUUGAGGUGUAGCAGCUGGCACAGGAGUUUCAGGAUUUGACGCAGACCACGGAGACUGUGGCGGAGAUCACCACCAAGUUCAGGGAGAGGGCUCUUCUUGUACUGCAGUACAUCGCGGAUGAGGAGAUGAAGAAGGCCCGAUACCAUGAGAUGUUGAGGGUGUUGGGUUAUGAGCAUUCUAACACUCCUAAGUGUACAUGCAACCCUAAAUACCUUGGAUCUAUGUUUUCUCUAUUAUACAUACAAAUAUGAACAUCGAAGGUAUUAUCCUAAUCUAGCAUAUAACAUAAUGAAUAUAACAAGAUAGAAUACAUACCUCUUUCAUGUAGAAAGUCUUCAUGAAGCUUGAGUGCCAAGUGCCCCAAGUGUGACACCUCAAAUGGUUCACACAACACCAAAUACACUUGGAAUAACUUGAGAGAAUUCUACACUUCAUGAAAAUCGGCUAGCCCUCUCUAGAAUGAUACUAGUCGCCAAUUUUGUCAAGAAUAAGAUCUUUAUAUAGUGUUACAAUUAGGGUAAACCCUAAUUGUCAUGACUUUCCAUUUCCUUGGAUCCAUGGGUUCAAAUACACCAUGGAGCAUCCAUGGACCAUCCUAUGGGUUUUAGCCCAACUUGAUUAUCCAUGGAGCAUUAGCCCACUAUACAAGUAUGGAUGAUUUACACAAUCAACCCAUAUAUUUAAUUAGUCUUCUUUUGAUCACUUAAUUAAUCCUAGAUUAAUUCUUGAUCAAUACUAAUUAAAUAAUCUUAUUAUUCUUAUUAUUAAUAUACUAGAACUUAUAAUAUAUUAAUAACCAUAAGUGUCUUAUUUCUCUCAUUAUAGUCUAUCCAAGUGCAUGAUGCCAUGCAACCCAAAUGGACCAUGCCGGGUCGGGUCAAGUCUUACCAAUUAUAGUUAUGGACUUAGACAUUAAUCCAACAGUCUCCCACUUGGAUAAGUCUAAAACUAUUAUUGCGUAUGACUUCAGGAACCAACUGGCAAUCGUAGCUCUCAAAAGCUUCUGUCGAACUCUGACCUUGUAGAUGAACUCUGACCUUUGUCAAUGACUUGUCCAUUAGAUAAGGGAUCAUAUAUUCCUCCAUUCUAGAUAUCAUAUGGACUGAGACAUGGAUUAUAAUCAUUCUCUCUGUCCAUUUGUUGUUUCCCGAUUUCCGAUUUAUGACGACUGACUAAUUGAACAAAUCAAAUCAGUCCUGGCCCGGCCGAGCACUUCCAUUUGUCAUCAUCAAAUCAUCGAGGGGCCCACAGAUAUCGCUUUUAUCCCGAAGGUAAAAGGAAUGGAUAAACUUCGACUCAUAUGGCUUGUUCUACUACUUGUUGAAUCAUACACAAAGGCACGUUUUAUAGCACCGAGUUACCAAAUGCGUUUUCGUGCAAUCAAUGUACUAUCAACUCAUAGUAACAACUCAUAUCUCUAGGUUUGAAGAAUAUAAGAUAUUAUCGUCUCAUGAUCACUCGUGAUAAAAUCCAUGAAGUGAUUCCAAUGAGCGCGGGUUGAAUCCAAUACUCAGAACUUAUGAGCACUCAUGAGUGUUGUAGCCCUUUGUCCAACACCUUAGACCUCUACAAGCCAACCCAUGACAGUCUUAAUUCAUAUCUACUUCCAACAUAUGACCGACUGUGGAUGGUUUGAAUAACUUAGUCAUUCCGGAAGAAUAACCUAGUUUAUUCGGGAAGUCAAAACAUGCAAAGUGAAACACAAUAAUAAUUGAAUCCAAUAUGGUAUCAACCCUUUGAACAUAAAUAAAACACCUUUUAUUUAUCACCAUAUGAUUACACAUUAUUCAUUGUAUACUGUUUCAGCUAUCAACUUUAUUCUUGAAUUUAAAACAAUAGUUGUCCCAUGCUCCAAGCAUGUACACUAUGUUUUCUUAAACACUAGUCAUGCCACACACCAAGUAUGCAUACUAUGUUUGUCUAUGAUCUUUACUUUGUGAACUAGAUCAAUUGAACAUAACUUCAAUGAUUCUCUUUUCACACUCCCAAAUCCUUACUGCAAAUGCAAGAAUUCCAAAUUCAUGCCAUUUACUGAAAUCUGUUAGAUUCUAAACUUAUAUGCAUUGAUCCUCUUGUAAUGAUUAUGCACAAAGUCAUAAAGACUUGACAACAAUCAUUACAGAGUAUUCCAAAGGAGAUCAACUCCUUGGAAACAUCCUUCUUGCAUUAAGUUUCCUUAAUCUUACACAGAUUGAAAAUUCUAACUUUGAAACAUUUCCAGAUUCCAUUUUGACUAUCACUUCUGAACAAGAGUUGCCUCCUUACAGAUUAUGUCAAUAUGGUCCUUCCAGAAUUAUCACUAUACUUCCAAUUGUCCUUGAGUAACCAAUCUUUGGUAAACCUUAGAUUGUCCUCGACAAUUGUUUAAUCCUUUUAGUCAUAUCCAGUUCUAAACCUUUUCCCUUCUUAAUGCCCCAGGCAUUUGGAAAAUUUUAGAACGGAUGAAUAUAGCACAUGUAAUCGAUCCUAUAUCCGAAGCAUAUGGGACACGAUUCAUGAUGUCUCACAUAAAGACUAAACCAGUCUUUUGCUAUAACAUUUCCAUUUCAAUUUGCCAAGUUCUCAUAAUUCAGAUUAUGAAAAGGGAUGCCGUAAUCAUAAUCGAAUUUUAGAACGCAAAUAAUGGACCCAUAUACAGAAUUUCCUUAUGUUGAGCCAUUCCAACAUGAAAUUCAUAUAUAUCCUUGACUAAAUGAUUAAAACCUCACGAUCUAAGCUUAUAGAUUUGAGAUGAAGUAUAAUUUCCUCUCCCUUAAUUAUAGCAAAACAACUUUUUCCCAAUUGAAACUUUUGUUUUCUAUAAUUAACAUUGCUAACUUGCAAUACUUAUCAUAAUUAUCAUGCUCCCACUAACAUGAUGAUUAUUAGCAUAACACUUAUGCUCCCACUAGCUUUGACAUGUACUCAGAAAUCAGCUGGACAGUCUGAAAUUUAGAUUCAUACACCCUUUCCGUAGAUAGCUCACCUGUGUGUCUAAGCAAUUUCAAGAACCAUGAAAAGGGAUACCGUAAUCAUGGUCUCAAUUGCUUAGGCAUUUGCCAUUUCUCACAAGUCCAUGUUAGUGUGCCGGUUAACCACACGCGCUCCACUAACGACUUUGAGAAUGCAAAUAUCACAAUUGCUAUCUAGCUAAAAUCUACUUAGUGAAAGUGUUUCCUCACCAUCAUUUUCAUGAAUCGGAGAGAAACCUUAUGACACUUAGAUUUAUAUGGUGUAUGAGUUCCUACCCAUAUGAAUUUGUCAAACCAUAAUCACAAGACAAAGAUAAUGACAAAUCCAAAACCAUAUGGAUUGAACUCAAUCUUAACUUCUUGCCACCUGGCAGCUCAAGGCCCUGCCAUUACUUCCAAGUUGUUGUGCAACCAAUUGAGAAUUCUAAGAACUCAUAUGCAAAGCCAACUUUAACUGAAAUGGGAACAUAAUAUGUCAUCAUGAUAGGUUAUAAACCUCAUGUCGUGUGCUAGUGAAGAACUUUAGGUUUUAUUCUUGAUUAGUUCUUGAGACUUUCAAGACCUUUAAGACUCCCACUGCCCUCUUGACAUAUAAUAAUCCCUUUUCAAACAUCCAAGAGAUAGUGUGGAUUCUAACCAAGACAAACACUUCACACAAUAGGCCUAAGUUGGUCUUUGUUUUAUCCAAAACAUCACAACUUACCAAUUUCAAAUGUACAAGAGUAGAAAACUUUUACUCUUACAUUUGACAAGUGUUUUAAACCUUCUUUAAGACAUGUCACUCAAAUGACAAUCUUGGAGUAUGACUCUAAGACUUGUAUUGGAACGAAGUAUGACUCAUCUUCUUGAUUUAACCAUUUCAACAAUUCAAGUUCCUCUUCUUAGUCAUAAGAAUGCACUAAGAUUUCCUUAGAGAACUAAUUUUGAUAUGGUUUCUUAAUCAUUAAGAUGAUCACAAAACUGAUACUAAAGUACUCUCCCAUCUUUUCAGAUAUGAGAAACUUUUAUCCUUCUGCCUAAUUUGAUUCUUCUUAUUCGCCCUGCCAUACAUUGGAACCUUUUCCAAUGUCUCAGAGUUACACUUAAGCUUGUAAGUAUAAUCAUAUUUACUGAGCUUUAGUAAACUAUGACGAAUAGUCUUAUCAAUCUUUUGUGGUGGACUUAAUCAGUGCACAAGAAUGUGUACUCGAUCCCUUAGUCCUUUACUUGACUCACACAUCCAUGUGAACAAGUAAUUAGUCUUAAUUUUCCAAAACUUGAAAGUUCUCAUUCAUCAUGCUAUACAACUUGCAUGAUUCCAAGUUCCGGUCCAAUUGAAACUUGGGUGAUGAGAAUCUUUCCUUAUUUGGUAAAUCUAGACAUUACCACAAAUGAAAGAAUCAAUUUCAUAUUUCCACUCUUGCUCUUAAUGGAAUCAUAUAAGCAACAAUUUUUCCUCAAAAGCCAUUGUAAGGAUAUUUUAAAAUAAAUAAAAUCAAAAAAAUUUUCUUUUAUUUUAAAACUUUGCGGAAAAACUUAUCCUUACAAUCCAUAUGAAAACUUGUUGUUAUCUAUUCCUAAGCAAUAUCUCAUAACUCCUAAGAAGUAGCUCAAGAAUCCGAUCUUCAAACUAUGCGAUAGAAAUCCAUCUACGCCAUCAGAUUCAGCAUAUUCUUUCUUUAAGUUUCUUCACUUUUCUUUGAUUCUUAAAACAUCACCAUGUGACCCAGUCACAUCAUGUAUCAAGAAUCUCAGAAUAGAAACUUAACAGAGUUAGAUAGUGGACUUUACCUGAAGUAGAGUCAAACUUAUUGACUUUAACAUCCUUAGGUAAAUUUGGCAGCUUCGCAACCAAUGCCCCUUCCUUUGGCAAUAUAAACAUAUGGACCCUUUGAUAAUGGUACACGGGACUAUCACAGACUUAGCUUUUCUCUUUACCAUUUGGUCAACCGAGUUGACUAUGGCCGAUCCCUUUCCAUUGGGAAGAGAAUGCUUUACUGGAUAUCCAAUGUCAUCAUUGUCAAUGUCCAUAAAGUUUUAGGAAGUUGAUCUUAGCAAAUAGAUAAGAUCAUUAAGGGUCUUGUCAUAGUCUGUUUCAUAGGUGUCCCAAAGGAACUCACUAUGUGACUUAGAAAGUGGUUGAACCACCAACUUUCUCAAGACUUUGACACCCAACUCUCCCGGCUUGUCAAUAUGUGACUACAUCUCCAAGAUGUGACCACACCUAGACCUUGCCUUGCUAAUAGGGCCUGAGUGACCUUAAACUUUUCAAGAACUUGUGGGUUAGGGAGAAUAAUUUGAAGAGGUGAAGAAGUAUGAUAUCCAUGGGACAUCAUCUUCAUUAGGAAACCUUGUUUCAAGAGAUUUGGGAAGAUCAUAGGUGUCUAAACCAGACAUCUUUUGGGAGAUAUUCAAGAUAGUUGAUUUAAAGUCCUUAAUAUGACACCCAAUAUGAAAUAUUAAGGCUAGGACCCAACAAACUAUUUUAUAACUUAGAAGAGGUAUGCCGUAAUCCAAGCUAUAAAAUAUUUGAAGGUAGGUGAAUGACGAUUCACCAAUUUCCACCAAGAUAAACGAAAUGUAUUAUUAGGUUUUAAUUGGUUUUGAAACUCCUAGAUCUUUGAGAUUCAUUGAACUUUUCAAAGGCAUGUUUCAAUCUCGAGUGUGCCCUUCAGGUUUUGUGACUGGGAUGCCGAGGAUCACAAAACAAGGUGUGAAGUAACCAUGCAAAUCACUUGGUACCCUUAAUAAAUUACCCCUCAAUCGAUGUGCCGGUUAACCACACACGCUCCAUCGAUACUAUGAUAAAUAUUAAGUCACCCUUUACCUACCUUGUUAAGUCCAAGUUAGUGUGCCGGUUAACCACACACGCUCCACUAACGACUUAGACAAAGUGUAAAGUGUAAUUUCAUGGAUUAGCACCUUAUUCACAUUUUUCCUAAGUAACUAAGAUUGGGUAUUAUUAAGAGUUUAGUUACUUAGUAUUAUCAUUAAUACUUUUAAUGAAGGGAGAAUUCUAGUCCUGUCAAACCCGUUCGGCUAACGACCCUCCACCAGUCAAGCAAGCGGUGGGUGAGAGUGGACACCCAUUAAGUUGCCAUUUUAUAGGCAACAACCUUAUACCCACCUUAUAGACCGGCUUCGUGAAUGAGGCGUACUAGCGGUAAGACUGACUUUACUCUUAUACAUAUAUAUAUUAUUAACUUAUAAUAUUAUAAAGUAUAAGGGUUGAAUUUUAACUUUUAAAAUUCUAAGGGCUAACUUGGAAUUAAAGUAUUCAUACUUGAAAACUUUUCAAAUUCCAAAACUUGAGGGCAAGUUUUGAAACUAUUCAAAACUAAUUAAUUCCAUAACUUAUGUGUUUAAAGUAGUUUUAAUCCAAAAACUCUUCAAGUUCCAUAACUUGAGGACAAGUUAUGGAAGACUUUAAACUAAUAAAAGAACUAACUUUUUCUUUAUUUUAUAACUUAUGGAUUUAAUUAUGGUUACAUAUUUUUCUUUAAUGAAGUGACUCUUGAACUUCCAUAACUUGAGGACAAGUUAUGGAGUCAAAAAAAAUUAUUCAAUGACACAAGACUCUUCAUUUUGUAACCAUUGCCAACUUUUAUGAAUUUUAUGAGUCUUUAAUGUGACUCUUCAUGUAACUUGAGGACAAGUUACACAAACACAUUUUAUACUCAACUCUUAGAUUAAAAUGGAUUGAAAACAACUAUUUCACUCAACAUUUCUAUUAAUCUAAGCAACUCAUAAGAACAAGAUAAUUCAAAUCAAACUUUUUCAUGUAAUUAGUCUAAACCUUAAACUAAUACAAAACAUGAAUCUAUUGACAAUUAUCUUUGAAAAUGGAUUAGCAUGAACAUUACCACAUCAAAAACAAGUUUAUAAGUUCAAAAACAACUUAGGGUAAUGUUCCUAGUCCAUUUCUAGCCAAAAAACUCGAAAAUAUGCUGUCUGGGGGUCCAACUCGUCGAGUGCAUGAACAAACUCGGCGAGUUGGAUCGAAUUCAUCACUUUUUAGGCAUGGACUCGUCGAGUCUCCUGAUGGACUCGCCGAGUCUGAUGGCCAGACAGCACCAGAUUCGUUUUUUCAGCUUCUAUUGCAGGUAUAACAAGAAAACAAGCCUAGGCUCUGAUACCACUGUUGGGUUUUGAGCAUUCUAACACUCCUAAGUGUACAUGCAACCCUAAAUACCUUGGAUCUAUGUUUUCUCUAUUAUACAUGCAAAUAAGAACUUCCAAGGUAUUAUCCUAAUCUAGCAUACAAAACAAUGACUAUAGCAAGAUAGAAUACAUACCUCUUUGAUGUAGAAAGUCUUCAUGAAGCUUGAGUGCCUAGUGCCCCAAGUGUGACACCUCAAAUGGAAUCACAAUCAUCAAAACACUUGGAAUGAUUUGAGAGAAUUCUACACUCUUCAAAAUCGGCUAGCCCUUUCUUCACUAUCUCUAGUGGCCGAUUUUUCCUCAAUAAUAAGAUGCUUAUAUAGUUACACAAUUAGGGUAAACUCUUAAUUGUCAUGGCUUUCCAUUUCCUUGGAUCCAUGGGUACAAAUACACCAUGGAGCAUCCAUGGACCAUCCUAUGGGUUUUAGCCCAACUUGAUUAUCCAUGGAGCAUUAGCCCACUAUACAAGUAUGGAUGAUUUACACAAUCAACCCAUAUAUUUAAUUAGUCUUCUUUUGAUCACUUAAUUAAUCCUAGAUUAAUUCUUGAUCAAUACUAAUUAAAUAAUCUUAUUAUUCUUAUUAUUAAUAUACUAGAACUUAUAAUAUAUUAAUAACCAUAAGUGUCUUAUUUCUCUCAUUAUAGUCUAUCCAAGUGCAUGAUGCCAUGCAACCCAAAUGGACCAUGCCGGGUCGGGUCAAGUCUUACCAAUUAUAGUUAUGGACUUAGACAUUAAUCCAACAGAGGGAUGACAUCAGGGAGUUCGUGAGCAGAUCCAGCUGUAAAACGCUGGAAGAUAUGAUUUCUCGAGCUAGAGAGAGGGAAAUUGAUUUGGUGCAGAUCCGGAAGAGGAAGCCGGAUGAGGUUCAGGUAGCUACAGGUUCAGGCAAAAGGCCCAAAGGAUCGGAUUCGAUGUCGAGGGAUUAUCAGGACCGCAGCCGGUGCGGGAAGUGUGGCAGGGCGCACGGGGGCGCGUGCAGGAGUGGUAGCGGUGGUGAGUCUGGCUGUUUCAAGUGCGGUCGGACUAGUCAUUUCAGCAGGGAUUGUACUGUUAUCACCUCACAGGGAUCAGACUUGUUAUGUUUUCACUACAACCAGCGGGGCCACAAGAAGGCCCAGUGCCCCAGUUUGUUUUUAGCAGGACGGGUGAUGGCACCUGCCCCUGUAACUUUGAGGAUCACAGACGGCCGUCAGGGCCAUGCAGAGGCGCCUGCGGUGGGAGGUAGAGCUCUUCAGAUGACUACCUUAGAGGUGCGAUCAGCACCGGACGUUGCAGUUAUGCAAUUUCUGUUUUCAGUUCUUUUAUUUGUGCAUGAUUAUAUUGUUAUGGUUCUGCAUCAUUAUCGGUAUGAGUAUUUUAUUUUUGAGCGAUUGAUUGUGAUCGAGUUAUAUGCCAUCUGCAUACCUUGGAUGUUCGAAUAGUAGUGAGGGGAUGUGCCCUACUGGAGAAGGCUACAUAGGAUACAGUAACUGUAGCAUGCUUGGGAGGGACUUGGUAUGUCUCACUAGAUCAGAGUUGUAUAGUGUUAGAAAUGAAUUGGUUAGGUCCCUAGCUAUGGUAUGCUUGGGUUCCUCAGCAGAUCGAUUAUGGAAUGGUAUCAAGGAUUUCUUUUGAGUAUUGAGCAACAAGGGGUAAGCAGGAUCGAAGUGGGGGAGAAUCCUCCAAUUUUGCCCAGGUAAGAGCACGCAGACCCUGAAUGAGUACGUGACCUCCGAGGAGGAAAAGAAGUAGUUCAACGUUUGAUGAAUUGAGGAUUCAGGGUUGGGAGUUUGAGAAACUCCCCAUCAGCUAGUGCGUGUGAUGGUAAUGGUUAGUGCGUAGUUGGGAAUUCAGGUUGUGGAUCGCCCGUAGGACUCGAGGGAGUCGGAAUGAGGAUCUUGAGAGCUAAUGGCACAUGGGUGCCUUCAUGUUAGCAGUCAGUGGUGGAAGUGUUGUAAGACUACGGGGCAGCCGUAGCAUUCACUAGCAGUCAGCAANNNNNNNNNNNNNNNNNNNNNNNNNNNNNNNNNNNNNNNNNNNNNNNNNNNNNNNNNNNNNNNNNNNNNNNNNNNNNNNNNNNNNNNNNNNNNNNNNNNNNNNNNNNNNNNNNNNNNNNNNNNNNNNNNNNNNNNNNNNNNNNNNNNNNNNNNNNNNNNNNNNNNNNNNNNGAGACCCAUGGGCGAGGCCCAAGCGAGAGUGAUUAGACUAGUGGGAAUAGAAGGAUAGAGGCGGGUGGGACCCGUGGGCAAGGCCCGUGAGUUUUAGCAGCACAGGUGGGACCUGGUAGGGACCUUAGUGUCAAGUUAGGGGAUCGGGGAUCCCAGGUUUGUAUUGACUGAAUGGCAUAAUUGAUUGAGCAGUUAUAGGUGGUUGAAGUUUCUUUGGAAGUCGCUGGGAGCGACUAGUGGUGGUGUUGGGACUAGCUACCGGUGGGAGCCAGUAAUCCAGACACUGAUAGGUUGGUAGGGACCAGGGUGGUCUCAGUUCAUCCGAAAGGCAGACAAGGAAUAGCAGAAUUUUCAGUUAGUAGUACUGUGGGUAAGCAGUGUAUGGUGGAAUUCAGUUAGUUGAAUCGAGGGGUGCUCGGCACCAAUGUUUUGGCAGAGAGGAGUGUAAGUGGUUACUAAUGGUGAUGAUCCGUACUGGGAAUAGCGGGGGUGAUGGAGUUGGUGAAGGAUAGGGCCUUCAUAGUGACAGAAGGAAUAGUUGGAUAUGGAGCAUUGCCUUAGGAAGGCAAGGGAAUCACGUAAGGAAAGAAGGGGUCAACCCCUAUGAGUUCAAGUGCAGUACUUGGAGAAUACCAGAAGGAUUGUCGGUGGAGUAAGUUGUGUUUCUAAGUUGUUCAGGGUCAGGUUUGACCCGAGGUUUUAUCCGCGAGGUUUAUGUUAGUCAGAGUGACAAGGUGGAAGACCAGCGAAGGUAGGCAGCUGGUGUUGGGAUAAUUGGUGGGUUUUGGAAGCAGAUCGCAGGCGGUGGACCAUGGCAAACUUCGAGGAUGAAGUUUAGUUUAAGUGAGGGAGAGUUGUAACACCCAAACUUUUGAAGACCAAGAAAGGAAAGAAAACCCUCAUUUUUAGGAGCAACUCGGCGAGUCCAAGGAGGAACUCGGCGAGUCCGAGCGGGAUCCGGGUCGAGGUAUAAGUGACCAACUCGGCGAGUCGGCCAAGUGGACUCGGCGAGUCUGGUUUGUGCAAGGAAAACCCUAAAUUCGGGACUUGGAGCGUAUUUAAGUGCCUCAUUCUCUCCCUAGGGUUCCUUUACUGCCUCUUUCACCUAGAACAUUAAACCCUAGCCGCCAUAUCCUCUUUUUGAUCCAUUUGUUGCCUUGGAAGGUGCAUUAAAGCUUGGAGAAGGAAGAAGGAACUUGGAGGAGCAAGAAGGGACUAUUGAUCUGGGAUUGUGAGUUCAUUCUGAUCAUUUGGAGGUAAUAAACUAGUUCUUGGACCCUCUUUGCACCUAGAUCUAUGUGUGGUUGUUGGGGCUUUUUAGCCAUAAUGUUAUUAUGUUGAGUUAGAAGCCAGAUCUGAAGUUGCUACUUCAGAUCUAAGCAUAUUAAGGUCUUGAGAAGCAUAAAGUAGCAGCCCUUGAGUUGAUUAUGGAGCCUCCUUGCAUUAAACCCUAGUUUGUGGUGUAUUUUGCCUAGAUCCCCUUCUCUAUACGUAAAGUUUGCAACUUUACGUGAGGAAUGGGCUUGGGAAGGGUAGAUCUACAGUUUGGAGUCCAUGCAUGACUCAAAAGUCCUCUGCAUGUAUGGAGAUCUGAAUGGACUCAACGAGUCCUUUGAGUGGACUCGGCGAGUAGCAUGAAGAUUUGGAGGAACUCGACGAGUGGGAUGAACAGCUCGUCGAGUCAGAUGAAGUUGGGCAGGAACUCGGCGAGUUGGAUGAACAACUCGGCGAGUCUAUUGAAGGUUGUCUUGGACUCGGCGAGUCUGUUCUUGGACUCGGCGAGUCAGGUCGCGAAACCCCCAACCCUUCGAGUUGAGACUCGAAUCAGUGAGUCGAAUGGAGACUCGGUGAGUUGGACAGGUCAGGACUCGGUAAUCGGUAGACUCGGCGAGUCAUGGACUGACUCGGCGAGUCGAGUCGCAAAGAGAAGGUCUGAACAUAUGAACUCGGCGAGUCAAGAGGGUUACUCAGCGAGAAGGGUUGACCUGGAAGAUUGACUUUAACUAGGACUUUGACGUUGACCAGAGUUGACUUGGUUGUCUUUCGGGGGUCAGUUAGACUCAAUGUUGCUUUGACAUUGGUAGCUCGGGGAGCGAGUGGAGCAGGAGUGCAGAGAGUUGUUGGGAAGCAGCUAAUGGGUUCAUCAGCCAGUUCAGCCAGUGCAGAUGAGUUUCCCUUUGUAUGAAUGGGUCUACGGCCACAAUGCCGGCCCAUGUAGUUAUGAGUAGAAGACCCAGGGGUUAGCCCUAGGCACAAUAUGCUAGUAUGAUAUUCGGGACGAGGUCCAAUGAUAGAGGGUGGGUGCCCAAGGAAUGGUUUAUGCGAUAGUAUAUACUUGUUGUCUGUGUGAUACUUGUAUGUGCCUGGUAGGGAGGUGAGUGUGGGCGAGGUCCCGUAUCUCACCAAUAGCAGAGUGUGGAUGGUGUUCCAUAUCUCAGUAGCAGCAGAUCAGGGAUGAGGACCAAGUUAGGGAAGGAGUGAGGGUGGGCUGGGCCCGUACCACACUAUCAGUAGGAGUAUGGACGGGGUUCCAUGACUCAUCAGUAGCAAGACAAGGGCGGGGCCCAGAGAUAGGCAAGGCCUCACAACAAGAUCCGUUAGUAUGUGUUUAGCGAUGUGAUGUGAUGUGAUAUGUUUAUGUGCUAUUAUAUGUUAGUGGGUGAGGCCCUGUGACAGGCGAGGCCUAAGUGAAAUAGAUCUGUAUCUGAGCGGGCUCGAAGCCAGGCGGGGCCGUUGUAGCGGGUGAGGCCCGAGGUAGGGGUGGGCGAGGCCCAGGAUAGCGGGCGUGGCUCAGUAUGUGCAGUUUGUGGUUAUGCAUCGUGUGUGGUAGGGUGGGGAACUCACAAAGCUUCGUGCUUACAGUUUUCAGUUUUGGUUUCAGGUACUUCCGGUAGCGGAGGGAAGAGCUCGGGGUCAUCGCAUGGCACACACCAUAGCUUAAACAGCCUGGGAAUGUUUACUCUGAUAACGAACAUGUAUUUUGGAAACUAAUACUCUGUUUAUGUUUUGAAGUGAUGAAUUUGCUUAAAGUAAUGUUUUAUUAAAAGAAAUUCUUAGUUUCGAAUUUCGGGACGUUACAAAAAUAAACGUAAUGUAGUUUUUCUACAUGUUUUGUGCGAAAAACACCACAUGCAUCCAAUGUUUUCCAGCAAAAAAAUGAUUUUUGAACAUUUCAAACUCAUGAAUGGUCUUCAAACAAACAUGGAUGUGAUUAUCAUCAAGCUUAGAAGCUAGAUCAUCAAAGUAUGUUGUUAUAAGCUUUCAAAUAUGUUCAUGAAUGAUUUAUUUCCAAAUAAAUAUCUAAAACUCCUUUUCUGACCAAAUCCGAUUUUUCCCAGAUUCCUACCAACAAAAUGAGAUGUUCUACAAAUUUUCAGAAAAUAAUUCGUUUUGCUCGAAUUAUUAUAAUUAUUUCAAUAAUAUAUGACAAUAAAUCAUAUAAAAUAGUUUAUGAGGUCUAUAAAUCUUAGGUAAAUUCUUGGAUGACUCCUAUACUAAAUAAAGACUUCUCAUUAUGUUUCUUCUAUUUUUGUUACUGUUUAGCGUGGUUUUCAAUUUUCUUUUUGUUUAGCCCCAAUAAAUCAUAAAACCGAUUUGAAUAAUUUGAAAAGGGUAUAUAAUAAUUUUCACAGCUUAUAAUCUCUGUGUAAGACUUAGAAAAUUAUUUUUAGAAUUUUUGAUAAUGUAUUCCUAUUUUUCUCCGAUUUUUUUAUUUAUAAUGGACUAAAAACAGGAAAAAUAUUUUUACUUAUCCAAAAAUUAUGAAAAUUUACCCAAACACCUUGUAGUACAUUAGGAGGCUACAUAAACAUUUUGAUGAUUUUUAUCUUCUGUAUACUUUUUUUAUCCUAUUUUCUAGGAUUAAAUACACUUAAAUACACAAAAUCGGAUUCCAUUAGAUAAAAACCACCUUUGGGAUUUUUCCCAGAUUAUUUACACUGUAAAUGAACUUUACAAAAAUUUUAGUAAGUUACUUUAACUAUUUAAUAAUUAUUCUCCAAUUAAUGAUUAUUUAAGAGGAUAAAACAAAGAAAAAUAUAAAGACUAAAUAUCUUUUAUAUUUUUCACAGCUUCUACAUGUAGAAUAAAAGUGUUGCAAAAAUUUUGGGCAUUUUUGGAAACUGUUGCCUAUUUAUUUCAAUUUUUAUUAGAAUAAAUGCUCAAAAAUCAUAAAACUUGGUUAAACAGUUUAGAAAUCAAUUUUUAUAUUUUUCCCAACUUAAUAAUGUUUAAUAACAAUAAUACAAAAAGUUUGGGUAGUUGUGGAAAUGGAUUUCGAUUUUUCAUGAAUUUGUAUCUAUUUAGAGAAUUAAAUAUAUGAAAAAUGGUUAUAUAUAUCCAUAAUCAAUGAAAAGUUAUCUAGAAGUCUUUUAAACAUUUAGAACCAAAAUCUGAAUUUUGGUAAUUUUUAUUAACUGUUUAGUAUUUUGUUAUGAUUUUAUGGUUAUUCAAGAAACUAAAAUUGUGAAAAAUAGUCCGACAAAUCAAAAAUCCAAGAAAAUUUAUCUUGAGGUCCUUGACUUCAAUUAAAACUGAAAUGCAAACUUUGGGAAAUUUUAGAACUAAAUUGAUUUAGUUUUUGAAUAUUUAAUCAUUAGAACACCUCUUAAAAUGUUAAAUAUUAGCAUUUCAAUAAUGGGAAAAUUCCACUUAAAUUGUUAUAUAACAAUUGAAUCUUUGAAAUUUAAUUUUAACAGAAAAAUGAUUGUAACUGAUUAAUAUUAAAUUUUGACACAUUAUUGGCAUAAUUCUAUUGUAGUAGUAAGUAUACUAGUGUUAGAUUUCGAUUAGAAACUCACUAGCGGAUACCAUUAUUGUAGGAAUCGAUAGUGGUACGAGUGGAACUUAGCUCAAGGCAUCAUUUACAUCAUCUCAAUGCAUAUUGUGAGUAUUCACCACUCCCCUAUUUUCGGUUUUUAUGUUUUAGGGUGGAAAAGCAUGUCCUAAAAUAUUUAUGUUCGUUGUAUUUAAUUUGACUUGUAUCAGACUUGGUUGUUAUAUGUUGCUAUGUAUGUGUAUGUUAUUGUUAAUUCAUGAGGACUGUAUCGCGGUUAAGUCCCUGGAAUCUCUAGACACAACUCAUUAACUCUUUUGAGCCUAUGGUUAUUAUGGAUAGCGCUAUCUAGAGGUAGACAACUCCUCACUCACACGAUUCACUUGAGUGCAUUUGACCAUUUUAUACACUAUGUUUGCGAUACACAUAGUAGUCAAUAGGGCACGAUUUGGUCAUUAGGAUUGGGUUAUGAACUCAUGAAUGGAAACUUGAUGCACAUAUGAAUCUUUAUGCACAUACGAAACUUGUUUUCUCAUGUUAGCAACGACACUUGUAUACUUAUUUUUAGCAAUGAAACUUGUAUACUUAUUUUAGCAACAAACUUGGUUGCUUCUUAUAGUAACAAACUUGUUUGCUCCUUGUAGCAAUGAAACGAAACUUUUAUGCUUAUUAUAGCAAGGAACUUUGUUUCUCAUUAUAGCAACGAACUUUUAUUACUAAAAACUUAUAUACUUGUUUUAGCAAUGAAAUUGUUUGCUCCUUGUAACAACGAAUAUUAUUUUGAUUCUUGAAAACUCAUUUUAGCAAUAUACUUUUAUUUAUGGAAACUUUUAUCAAAACUUUUAAUUUGAUUCUUGAAACUAAUAUUAUUUUUAAUCUGUGAGUACUCCCCAACUUUUUUUUAUAGUUGACGCUCGUUUUACAUGCUUUUUCAGGAAUCAUCGAGUAAGUGGCACUUAGGGACACUUCACUUUUAGGAGCAUUCACAUGUGUUUUAUUUCAAUUUACAUUGUAAUUUCUUUUAAAAGUUGUUCAAACCCAUUCUAAAUUUGUAAUGAUUUUUAAUACUUUGGUUGGUGUUUUAUUUAAACUUUUUCUAUGAAACCCUUUAUACUGCCAUGCCUCAUGUUUCCGCUUUAGCAGGGUGUGACAGAAUGCCUCAUUUUGAGGUUACCACAAUCAAAACCGAUCUCCAAGCAGCCAUUGCGGAUCAGGCCUCACACUCUGAGAAGUUGACUGCUGAGACUCAUACUGCUCAUGAAUUCGCAAUCUCCGUUCUUCAAACAACAAUAAAAAGACUGCAGCGAUCUCUUUCAGCCAACUUCCAUGGUCCAGAAAUCCUUCACCUCACAAAGGAAAUCCACAUAUUGUUGUUGAACCCUGCUAUCCCAAAUAAUCAUCAAUUGGUCGAAGCCCUCAAAGCUCAAUUUGAUGCAAUAUAUGAAAAGGUUGAUAGCCUUCGUCAAUGGCUUGCGGAGGCUCCAGGUCUGAACUCCUCAAGAGGGGGAAGUGAAGAAGUCCAUCAAGAAGAAGAAGGUCAUCAUUCCAACCAAUCCAUCUCACAACAUCAAACUCCCCCUGUCUCCACUGAAAAAAAUUCCAACACCAGAACCUUCACCGCAACCAUCUCAUCACACUCCACCUUACAGCUCUCCACUGUAAACUGAACACACUCCAGAAAAACCGAAGACUCCUCCCCAUUUCAAAAACUUUGCGAAGCAUAUGUCUUCUCCGAGCUCAAACGACUCCCCUGCCACCACUGAAAGUAAAAGAGAUUAGAAGGAAGCCAAGCUCGCUAAAGAAGUAUGGAGACUUUGUGGAUUUGACACCGUCAUGGAUGAGUCCCUGAUAAAGUCUUGGUUCAAUCCACAUAGAAUACUACUUGAUGAUGACUACGUCCCACAUCUUACCUAUGCGGAACCCCCCUCAGAUGGUUACUGGGAUGUCCCAAUCUCACCAAAUGCUAGAUACUUCACUAUAUUUGAGCAGUUCGACCGCAACCUUCCUGACGAUAAAAGACUUCCAAUGGAAUUUGAGAGACUUAGCCAAUUCUAUGAUAAACAUGCCUCUCUCGUUGAACAUAUAUGGUCUAAUGAUAGACCAUCCGCAGUAAAAAAUUACAAGAUUCGGAAGUUCAUGAAGGCUGAGUUCAUCCAGUACAUUCUGACCAGGAGGGAACACGAUUACAUCCGCGCCCAGGCUGAUUUUCCAUGUAUGAACCCUGAAGAAGUUUUUCUCAUUGCCAAGGUGUUUCAGCACAAGUCUGAGAAGAAUUUGAAGAUGAAGAUUACACUUGAAAGGGCUAGUACUUUCCUCAAGGAAACAGUCUAUGACUUCGCCAAGAUUGACGCAGACAUUCAUCCCAUCAAUUCCAAGAUUGUUGAUCUGCCACCACCUGACCCCGCACCGAUGCCUACCGAAGGUUAGGAGGAAAUAUCCAUAGGUGCAACCAACUAUCCUGAGUUUGGAGUCAUUUUGUAGAGGAAGACUGACAACGUCAAAUAUUUCAUUCCUAUGACUACCAUGCAUCAUCUCACCAGAAAGCAACUUGAGAUCUGCCGAAACGCAGUUGAAAAGUCCAAGCACACCACCGCAAAGGUCAAGUUCGAGAUCCUCAGAAUAGUCAACUGGUUAGAGAACAUCAGGAAGUUUUGGGGGAUCCUGAUCAAGUUUCUUAAACUUGACAGCUGAUCAAAGUUGAAGAGGUCACUUAGGGGGAAAUUAUUGAAUCAAAAAAGUGACCCUCUUAAAACUCAGCUACCGCAACCAUAAAGCCACCGCAGUCAAGCAGUCUCUUCAAGAAUAAUCAUCCGAAGUCUCUAGUACGUCAGUCUCUAUCUAGUUUACAUUACCUUGUCUUUAUUAUAAAAAACUCUAUUGUCCAGUAUGCCUUGCAUGGCUACUCUUAGAGUUGUAAACUUGUUUUCUUUAAGAGUCUCUAUAAAUAGAGCUCAUUCUCUGUGUAAUCAGUAAGAAGAGAAUCUCUCAUCUAAUUCUAAUACAUAUCUCAGAAGUUCUCAUUCUAUCUUACUUACUCAAUCUUCUUACUCUCAUAAUCAAUCAUCAGCUCUCUUCAGAGCAAGUCACUUGUGACUUAAUCACUAAGUUUGAUCUCACACAUUAACUUGGUUUGAAAUGCAUUCCUCGUUAUGAAUCAGCUUUAAGUGUAUACUUGAAAUAACAACUGUUGUCAUUUACAUUUCUUUACUUUUCCGCAACUAACUCACUAACUUCUAACUCUUAAUAUUAUUGUUGAGCUAACAAAUCCUUCGACAUUAACUAUUCCGUUAUGUACUUGUUCUAACGUUUGUUCAAGUGUGUCUCAAAGUUUUUCUCUCAAUAGAUAUGGUCAAACGUUGGUCCUUAAUUGGGCAGUUAUAAAAUCCUUUUUUAGUUAUGGUGUGAACUAUGUAAGAGGCUUAUGUAGUCAAUAUGAGAUUUGUUCCACUUAUGUGUUGAGAGUUAUACCUCUAACUCACUUUAACAAAAGUUGAAAACCUAAUGAAAUUGAUCGCUAUCCAUAUCUCAUGUUCAAUAUGAUGUCUGUGACAAAUGGAUAACUGAUAAACUUGCGAUAUACACUAAUUUUAGCUUGAAGCUUUUUGCUAAGUGGGUGUUGAUAGAAUGGCACAAAUUUGUAUCUUGUUGGGGGUAAUAAAUGUUGGAUAAGGUGUCUAAGUCCAUAACUUAUUUGGUAUAUACUUGACCCGACCCGGCAUGGUCUAUUUGGGUUGCAUUUCAUCCAAACUAUUUAUGGAUAAUUUUAUGAGAGUUAUACACAUAUGAUUAUUAAUAUAUUAUAAGUUAUAAUAUAUUAAUAUGAUGUCAUGUUAUUUAAUUAGUCUUAGUCUUAAAUUAAUUAUGAAUUAAUUUAGAGAUUAAAAGGAAGACUAAUUAGAUUGUGGGCUAUUGGUUUUAUAUGGUGUGGGCUAACACUCAUUUGUUAAUGGGCUAGGCUUGUAUGGAAGUCCAUGGAUGAUCCAUGGAGCUUUUAACCAAUGGAUCCUUGGAAAAGGAAAGGUCAUGGGUUAUUAGGGUUUCACCCUAAUCAUGUACACUAUAUAAGCAUGCUUAUGUUGCAUGAAAUAGCCACUAGUGGCACUAGUGUGUGUGCUUGUGUGUGGCCGAAAAUUACAAGUGUGUGUACUCUCUCAAAGUUUUCCAAGAGUUUGUGGUGAUUUGUGAUUCCAUUUAAGGCAUUUACACUAUUGGUUCUUGGCCCUCAAACUCCUUAGGAAUUGAACUCAUCAUCAAAAGGUAUGUAAUCUCAUCUAAUUCUUUUAUGUUUAAAAGUACCCCAUGCCAUGUUAGAUAGGUUAUGAACCUUGGAAAAUUAUUAUUUUGCAUGUAUUUAGACAAACAUAGAUCCAAGGUUUAUUAGGGUUGCAUGCACACUUUUGAAGUGUUAGAUUGCUCAAAACCCAACAAUAAAAUGUUGCUAGACGUUCACCACUUUCUAUAACAAUCUAAUAUGAGUCUUACAAAAGUCAGGGAUUCAAAGAUCUAGUAUGCUCAAGAAUCAUAUUUAAGUGAUAUUGGUAAUUAACAUAUGAUACUAAUGAGUCACACUAAAAACAACGUAAUACAAUUGAUUAUUUAUUCGAAAUUGAUUUUAAUAAAUAUUCAAGAACUCUUAUAAUUAAAACGGAAAUUAUUUAUUUCUUGGAAAUAAUUAUUUUUAUUAAUAAGUAAGAUUACAUAAUUCAUAUAGCAUCAAUUAAUAAGUCAUGGACGGUAACGCCCCGACUCUCUGGUGUAAUUUUAUGGCUUUAAUUUUCAUAAUUUCAACAUCUACUCAACGAGUUGGAUGCCCUUACUCGUCGAGUUGAAGCAGAUUGGGCCACGUGUUUAAGUGACCUACUCACCGAGUCCAAGAUAGGACUUGACGAGUAGG